AACAUUCAUUGCUGUCGGUGGGUUUCCAUGGCAAUAGCUCGCUGACCAAUGAAUGAAGA
RNAcentral lists this microRNA precursor (59 nucleotides) under Tetraodon nigroviridis (spotted green pufferfish). RNAcentral's name for it is "Tni-Mir-181-P2b1_pre stem-loop". Lineage: Eukaryota; Metazoa; Chordata; Actinopteri; Tetraodontiformes; Tetraodontidae. The record is from RNAcentral.